AUGAACGCUGGCGGCGUGCCUAAUCCAUGCAAGUCGAGCGAACAGACGAGGAGCUUGCUCCUCUGACGUUAGCGGCGGACGGGUGAGUAACACGUAGAUAACCUACCUAUAAGACUGGGAUAACUUCGGGAAACCGGAGCUAAUACCGGAUAAUAUAUUGAACCGCAUGGUUCAAUAGUGAAAGACGGUUUUGCUGUCACUUAUAGAUGGAUCCGCGCCGCAUUAGCUAGUUGGUAAGGUAACGGCUUACCAAGGCGACGAUGCGUAGCCGACCUGAGAGGGUGAUCGGCCACACUGGAACUGAGACACGGUCCAGACUCCUACGGGAGGCAGCAGUAGGGAAUCUUCCGCAAUGGGCGAAAGCCUGACGGAGCAACGCCGCGUGAGUGAUGAAGGUCUUCGGAUCGUAAAACUCUGUUAUUAGGGAAGAACAAAUGUGUAAGUAACUAUGCACGUCUUGACGGUACCUAAUCAGAAAGCCACGGCUAACUACGUG
RNAcentral lists this ribosomal RNA (496 nucleotides) under uncultured bacterium. Its description in RNAcentral is "partial 16S ribosomal RNA". It matches the Rfam family "Bacterial small subunit ribosomal RNA", at positions 29 to 507 of the family's 1533-position model. The record is from RNAcentral.